CCUACGGGUGGCAGCAGUGAGGAAUAUUGGUCAAUGGCCGGAAGGCUGAACCAGCCAUGCCGCGUGAAGGUCAGUGCCCUUUGGGCGUUAAACUUCUUUUGUGCGGGAGCAAUCAUGCUCAAGUUUGGCCAGACGAGAGUACCGUACGAAUAAGGAUCUGCUAACUCCGUGCCAGCAGCCGCGGUAAUACGGAGGAUCUGAGCGUUAUCCGGAUUUAUUGGGUGUAAAGGGGGCGUAGGUGGGUUGUUAAGUCAGUUGUGAAAGUUUGCGGGUUAACCAUAAAAUUGCAAUUGAUACUGGCAGUAUUGAGUAGAGGUGAGGUAGGCGGAAUUCGUGGUGGAGCGGUGAAAUGCAUAGAGAUCACGAAGAACCCCGAUUGCGAAGGCAGCUUGCUAAACUGUGACUGACAUUGAUGCACGAAAGUGUGGGUAUCAAACAGGAUUAGAUACCCGGGUAGUC
This 459-nucleotide ribosomal RNA is filed under the name uncultured bacterium. RNAcentral describes it as "partial 16S ribosomal RNA". It matches the Rfam family "Bacterial small subunit ribosomal RNA", at positions 338 to 795 of the family's 1533-position model. The record is from RNAcentral.